This 503-nucleotide ribosomal RNA is filed under the name uncultured bacterium. RNAcentral describes it as "partial 16S ribosomal RNA". It matches the Rfam family "Bacterial small subunit ribosomal RNA", at positions 30 to 523 of the family's 1533-position model. The record is from RNAcentral.
AUUGAACGCUGGCGGCAGGCUUAACACAUGUAAGUCGAGCGGGGUGAUGGUGCUUGCACUAUCACUUAGCGGAGGACGGGUGAGUAAUGCUUAGGAAUGUGCCUAGUAAUGGGGGACAAAAUCUCGAAAGGGAUGCGAAUACCGAAUACGUCUUACGGGAGAAAGCAGAGGAUCACUUGUGACCUUGCGCUAAUAGAUGAGCCUAAGUCGGAUUAGCUAGUUGGUGGGGUAAAGGCCUACCAAGGCGACGAUCUGUAGCGGGUCUGAGAGGAUGAUCCGCCACACUGGGACUGAGACACGGCCCAGACUCCUACGGGAGGCAGCAGUGGGGAAUAUUGGACAAUGGGGGGAACCCUGAUCCAGCCAUGCCGCGUGUGUGAAGAAGGCCUUAUGGUUGUAAAGCACUUUAAGCGAGGAGGAGGCUCUUUUGGUUAAUACCCAAGAUGAGUGGACGUUACUCGCAGAAUAAGCACCGGCUAACUCUGUGCCAGCAGCCGCAGUAA